Amphimedon queenslandica is the source of this 1309-nucleotide long non-coding RNA. RefSeq lists it as uncharacterized. The transcript has 10 exons. Lineage: Eukaryota; Metazoa; Porifera; Demospongiae; Haplosclerida; Niphatidae. The record is from RefSeq and is a predicted model, not a curated record.
UAAUUUUGUGUAGGUUCGAGAGCAGUGGUUGAUGUACGAAUUGGAUUUGAUUAACUAUCAGAACAAGUGGAAACUGAUAAAAGGAUGGGAUGACCUCUUUACUAAAGUGAAGGAGCACAUCAACUCAGUGACUACAAUGAAACUAUCACCAUUCUUUAAAUAUUUAAAGAUGAGGCUCCAGCUUGAGAUGAAAAACUGAACAAGAUCAACGCUAUCUUUGAUAUUUGGAUCGACAAGGUUUCUAUGAGGAAGGUUUUUGGUGAGGAAGGUUUCGAUGAGGUUUUCUAUGAGGAAGAGCUAGACGUUCCUCUUGUUCUCUUUAAUGAAGUCCUUGAUCAUGUCCUUUAUAUUGACAGGAUCUUCAAAUAGCAACAGAGUCAUUUGUUGCUUAUUGGUGUCAGUGGAGCUGGAAAGACUACACUGUCUAGGUUUGUGGCUUGGAUCAACGGACUAUCAGUGUUUGAAAUAAAAGUUCAUAAUAAAUAUACUGCUGAUGUACACUUCCAUUCAAUGGACAGCACCUACAUGUAGUGUGUACUAAUUACAUUCCUUACUGUAUAAAUUAACCUUCACAUACACAUGUAAAGGACACCUCUGUAUAACAUGAUAAACUCAUGAUAUUGCUCAAAAGAAGGACAUUGUACUCGACGAUUUGUCCAAAGUGGAUCCAGCAGUCAAAGAGGGUCAGCAAGACUGGUAGUCUACAAAUGAAGAUUGUUGCUGAAGAUAAACUUGUUGAAGAGAGGACGGCUGAGCUCUUUCAGGAAUAGGAGAGAAAGAAACCAAUACAUUUGAGUUAUGCUGAUAUGAUGAAGAGACUUGAUCCGUUACGUAAAGAAUUGAAGGAUUUGGAAACCAAAGCUGAGGACACUUGUCAAAAAGGAGAAGAAAUAAAAAAAAUAAUAGCAGAACUUGAAGCCUCUAUAGCAAAAUAUAAAGAAGAAUAUGCAAUAGUUAUAUCUGAUGCUAUUGUUAUUAAGAAUGAUUUAUCGACUGUUGAGAAAAAGGUGAGUUCCUCCUUCGUUUGUGUCACCUUGAGAAGAGUCUCCUCACUGCAUUGAACGAGGUCAAGGGUCGUAUCCUAGACAACAGCAGAAUCAUUACUGAGCUUGAGACUCUUAAGGAAGGGGCUGCAGAAGUUCAGAGGAAGAUGGAGGAGACUGAUACUGUAAUGGCUGAAGUUGACAGAGUCUCCCAGCAAUACCUGCCUCUCUCCACCUCCUGCUCUGCCAUGUACUUCACUCUGGAGUCACUCAAUCAGGUUCAUUUCUUGUACCAGUAUUCCUUCCAAUUCUUCCUGGACAUAUUU